This 290-nucleotide long non-coding RNA is filed under the name Sus scrofa (pig). RNAcentral describes it as "lncRNA (multiple genes)". Lineage: Eukaryota; Metazoa; Chordata; Mammalia; Artiodactyla; Suidae. The record is from RNAcentral.
AGAACACAGGGUUCAACACCAGGAUUGGUCGCAAGUAGGAAGCUUUCGCCUCUACACUGGGACCCUCGGAAGGUGCCGGCGCAGUGCCUGAAGCUGUAGCGUGUGCCGCGCUCAGGUGCUCAGCUUUUCUAUUGUGUCCUUUAGGAUCUCUGUUGCCUUAUUGAUUUUCUGUCCAGAGGAUCUGUCCAUUGAUGUGAUGUGCAAUUGACCUUGGGAUGCAUAACUUCGUUGGGGGAAUCACUGACAUAUAAUAACUCCACAGCAUGUGGCCCCAAGAACUGCCCUGAAAG